GCACGGUUGUGCGGUGCUGAGAUGCUCUGCUGGGUUUGAGGAGGAGCAAUUACCCGUUCCUUUUUGCUGUGAGAAGCAUUUUGCUGUGAGCCAGUGAAGCAUGCCUGAUGGAAAGCGAGCUGGAUCCAAAACUACGGUGACCUUCUCUGUAAGGCUUUGUUAGUCCACAGAGCUUGCAAAAGAGAUGUGUGGGAUUUUCAGUGUGAGGUUGCUGUGUGCCACUGCAGCAUUUCAAGUGCCUUUGCUCGCAGUGCGGGGAGAUGCCUCUGUUCCUGUCUCUUGCUGGGAAGAAAAUGCAACAAUGCUCUCUAGAGGCAGAAGAAGUCAUGAAGAGGUUCGCUUUGCCCAGCUCUGCAUUUGGCCGUAACCUCAUGCUCUUUGCAGCUGCUCAUUUCCCACGUAAACAGCAAUGUCGGGGCCUUUUGGUGUCUUUUAUCGCAGCUUGGCUUGUUUGCUUUUUCCCCCCAUGGGCCAACUUCAGAAGGUUGUUUUUGGAAUCGCUCUGCUGUUUCUCGGAGAGGUUUUUCAGUGUUGCCAUGACGUCGUCCUCUUGACACGCUGGAGCAGCCCAGCAUGACUUGCGAGGGCAGCGACGUCUUGUCGAAGCAACGCACAAAUGCCAAAUUUCCUGUGUGUAUGGUAUGGUAAGGACUGAAGAGAAGAUGCACAAAUGCAAUGGCUUUGCUUAGAGAAAUGUCUGAGCAAGAGUUCCUGAUGGCUUACACUUUUUCUGAAACAUUUUUCUUUGUGCGGGCUUUCUAUAGAAGACAGGCAGCAGCCUCCCUGGAGCCAAAGGUGGCUUCUCUUUAAUAUGAAAUACUGCUACUGCUGCGAAAUAACGUUCCAACAUGGCAACGAUAUGGUUCAAAUAGUAAUAAUACAAUCAUUGUUUGCACAAAUGACAGCAGUAAAUGAUGUGAAAUGGAAAGAAACCAUUGUUUCAGAAAUGUGCUUUGCUUUCCCGGCGCCCGUUUAGGUCCUCUGUUACGUAACACUUAGUCUGAGUUGCAAAGAAAACGAAGGCUGCGAGAAGCAGGUGGUCUGUCCACCAUGAAAGAAGGAACUUGUAUAAGUCCAUGCACAAUUUGGCUAUUGCUGGAGAAAGGCGGAAGGGAUGAGUUUGCUGCAGGGGCCGCAUGGAUGGCGGCGUGGCAGCCUCCGGUUGUGUCCCCACAGGGUGGAUGUGAGGCCGUCCUCGCUGCAGCCACCCGGCUGGGACCAAGCAGGCAACCACACAGAGAGCAGGGCAGGUGCGCGGCCAAACCCGGGUGCUCCUCCUUGUCACCACUGCAGAGGUACUUGCUGCUGAAAUGAGUCAAAGAAGCACCUUUCUGCCAGUUUUCCUGGUGUGAACUGUGGAAGAACAAAGCUUAAAAAAAAAAAAAAAAAGCAGUUACUCGGAAGAGAUGCUUUCACAUGGGUGCUUUCCAUUCUUCUCCCUACUGGAUAGCACUGUCUUGUUAAAUACCUGUUACUAAUUAGCCUUCCUGUCUCAUGAUUAAAGUCAU
This 1508-nucleotide long non-coding RNA is filed under the name Struthio camelus australis. RNAcentral's name for it is "lncRNA (ENSSCUG00000002841.1)". Lineage: Eukaryota; Metazoa; Chordata; Aves; Struthioniformes; Struthionidae. The record is from RNAcentral.